RNAcentral lists this non-coding RNA (24 nucleotides) under Arabidopsis thaliana (thale cress). The record is from RNAcentral. Lineage: Eukaryota; Viridiplantae; Streptophyta; Magnoliopsida; Brassicales; Brassicaceae.
AGGUUUAUUGGAUUGGUCCACUUA